Pecten maximus is the source of this 4087-nucleotide long non-coding RNA. RefSeq lists it as uncharacterized. The transcript has 8 exons. The record is from RefSeq and is a predicted model, not a curated record. NCBI's taxonomy places the organism in Eukaryota, Metazoa, Mollusca, Bivalvia, Pectinida, Pectinidae.
UACGAAACUACAAACGACUAGCUCCAGAGGAAGAAGGUCAAAGUUGAGAGAAGGCGGGUGUUCGUAAACAAAAAAGACGGCUAGGUUUUGACGAUUUGUAUCAGCCUUAUCUGGAGGUUUAGUCAAGUAAGAAUGUCCCAUCAAAAUGUGUUAGACAAGCAGCCUCAGCACUGAUAAUCGCUGGACCAGAGGCAGAAACUGGUAGUGAGAACUAAUCCACCUACAAAUUCAGAUGAUUGUGAAAUGUCGGUCCAAGCUGUAGUAAGGAAUGUUCCAUAUGCCAGAUCUAGAUCAGGAAACAGCUACAUGGUACGCAGAGCUACAAAACAAAGAGGCCAGCCAUUUACAGGUAUAACAGUAGUAUCCUCAGCUGAAAAUGCCACAAAAUUGUGUUAGUGUCAAUAUUCUCGCCAACAACACUAACCUUGGUGGGUGGCUGAAACAUCCAAAAUGGUGUAUGAAGAAUGCAUGGACUAAAACUGCUCUUCCACUAUCACCGCUGAUAGACCUCAUUAAAAUUUGUCCAUUAGUGAAGUAAUAUGUGGCCGAUUAUCUCCCUUACAUUGAUUGAUGUUAGGAUAUAUGUACAAUGUACAUGCCUAGCGCCAGAAACUGCCCAACAACCUGAAACUUAAACACUUCUGCUCAGAUGAUGUUCUUGGUAAAGUAAGAUGGAAGUUGUCUAUGAAGGUGAUCCUGUGAAUGAUUGUCUCCCUUACAUUGAUUGACGGUGGGAUCUACAUGGAAGUCCAGAAAAUGCCCAACAUGCUGUUUGAUAUUUAAAAAGUUUGUCGCUCAGAUGUAGUUCUUAGUCAGGUAACACAGAAGUUGUGUAUGAAAGCUAUGGAUAUUUUUUUUAUGAAUUUCAAUGUAUUAAUGAAACUUGUAGUAAAAUUAAUUGUGGUUUCAGUCCAGGGGCCGCGGUGGCCGAGUGGUUAAGGAGUCCCAACACUUUAUUACUAGCCCUCCACCUCUGGGUUGGGAGUUCGAAACCUGGUACUAACUGUAGGUCCUGGUUUUCUCGGGGUACUCAGGCUUUCCUCCACCUCCAAAACCAGGCAUGUCCUUAAAUGACCCUGGCUGUUAAUAAGACGUUAAACACAAUAAACCAAACCAAACGUUUCAGUCCUAACAUAGGGGCCAAAAAUAACAUGUUUUUAGCUAUUAUUUAUGAACAUGCAUUCUUUUCAAAUCAUCCUGAGUCAUGGUCCGUCAGUUGUCUGUCAGUCCGUCCAUCUGUCUGUAAAUAAUCCUUGUUAUAACUAUUUCUUUAAAAUAUUGGAGAGAUAUUCCUCAAACUUCAUGUAUGGACAUUUGGCCUGGAAGGAUAUUCUUCAAAUUUCAUGUAUUGAUGUUUGGCCAUGUUGAAAUUGAGAAUUGAAGUUUGUUAUCUUUAUUCCUUGAAAAGUACUGGAGGGAUAUUCCUCAAACUUCAUGUGUAGGUUCCCCUUGGUACCUAGAUUGCUAAAUUUAUUUUCGUUUUUGAUCAGGAAAUCAAAAUGGCAGACAGGUGCGAAUUGAAGUUUGUAAUUGCUAUUUCUCGAAAAGAAUUGAAGGUAUGCUUCUCAAACUUCACGUGUAGGUUCCACUUGUUCUUGCAUGUUAUCGGAUUAUUAAGAGGAAAAAAGAAGAAAGAAGGGAACAGUAGAGAGAAGAUGAGUCUGACAUACAGAACCAAUAAAGAUCAUUGAAUGUUAGGCGCCAACAUCCUUCUGGGCUCUCUUGUUUAUUUGUGAUAAAUGUUUUGGAAAAGUAAAAAAAAACUUUAGUGAAUUUAAGAAAGUGUGUAUGAAACUUGUCAAAGUCAUUGUCAGAAUAAAAUGAGGUGUAUCAACACGGAAAUCAAGAGACGAGUCAUAAAAUGUAGUAAACAGUUUGAGGGUUAGAAAUGUAGGUUCAACCUUUAAAUUCUUUUUGGAGCUGAUAGGGAAAUAAGAAAAAGGUGGAAAUGUCCGAGAUCAAGGUUUCGGGAAAAUAAACAGGACUUUCUUAUUGAAAUAAGAAGUCGGAUACAGUUCUUAAGGAAAAACAUCCAGUGACACUCAUGUCCAGAGAUUUAUUUAAUGACAUUGCUACAGAAAUUCAAGGAAAGGUGCCAAUUGUAUACAUGUUAUAUGGGGUCUCAGUGACCGAGUGGUUAACGUGUCCCGACACUUUAACACUAGCCCUCCACCUCUUGGUUGUGGGUUUGAAACCUACAUGUGGCAGUUGCCAGGUACUGACCAUAUAAGGCUGGUGGUUUUUCACCGGGUACUCCGGCUUUCCUCCACCUCCAAACCUGGCACGUCCUUAAAUGACCCUGGUUGUUAAUAGGACGUUAAACAAAAACAAACCAAACCAAAAACAAACAUGUUUAAUUUGGUGUUAAUAAUUUGUGGGGAAGACGGAUCUGAACUACCUGAUAUUAACUUUCACCUUCAUCCUUUAGAUCACCAUUGGGACCGUGUAUAGUUGGGGAUGCCAGGAACAAGUAAUCAUCCGGUGUUCAUCCUACAUAUCUCAAAAAUGUUUUAACACCAAAUGCAUGUGUACUGCACUUUUUGUAUUUCAUUUCUCAUAUUAGUUAUUAUGUCAUAUGUAUAAAUCAAAGUUGUUGCUAAAUGUUCUGAACAUUGUUUCAUUACCUUGAUUUUCUGUUGAUUUUUCGUUUUACAGUGCCAAACCCCAAGAGAUAAUACUCCACUUUCGUGGAGUUCUGCGAAGUGGUCACUAGUCUGAGCUAGUAAGGUGACCUUAUACUCUCUACUUUAUCACUACACCCCCUUCAUAAAGCCUUUGCCCCAAAGACAACUACAACCAAGGUUGUUUAGCUCCAUGGAAGCCUCUCAAUCUCCUAUAGCUUUCACUUAGAGAGGUCAACAGUACCAAAUGUAAGAGGAGGGCAAUUAACAUGGCCAGACCGAGGUCUCAAAUCUGGAACUCAAAACACUCGACGGAUGCUCUACCAAUUCACCUACCUGGUCGCUGAUGAUCGAACCAGUCCAGUUCCACUACAAAAAAAUUACUCCCUUUCACUUCAUCUCUGGCCUGCUUUAUCAAGUUACUUCAAUAGCCAUGAAGAGAUCAUCUAUUGUGGAGAAGCUGUUGAAACAACUUUGUGACUCGGAGGUUAAACUGUAUUUUAUGUUCAUUGAAUUAAUUUUGACAUCAUUGAAUGAAUUCUUUCAGGUGAGCAAGACCAUUAAUUUUAUAUUCGUCAGUUGUAAAAUACAUCAAAAUAUGUUUAUGAAUUAAUUUUACUGAACCCAUGUGCUUGAUUCCAUUUCUUUGUGAACUAUUUUUUGUUUGUAAUUAAUGUUUCAGGCUGAUGUUGAAAUAACCAGAGUGCAAGUAUUUUAGGAAAUGCCACUUAAAAACCGGACUCCCAGUAGUCAAUCCUUGACAGGUUUGAGGUAUGUGAUAGGAUUGACAACAAUUGAGCCACUCACCACAGGACUGCUGACAGCCUGUAACCUCAGCACUGUAGAGUCCGCUAUACCAAAGUUACACAGAUGAACAGCAGUGUGGAUCCUGGCCGGGAAGUUAUGGUAACAGGUACCAAAAUGUUAAAUGAAUCAGAGGAAUGGAUCCAACUCAGUCCUUUUGAAUUCACAAUACAAUGUGAUUAGAUCCUCAAAAGGCACGCCAAUCUUCCUUCUAUUGAAUCUUCAGCAGUUCCAGUUUCUCAAUAUUUUAGGAAAAGGAGCAACAAGAUCAGCCUAUUUAGCCAUGGGAAACAACACCAGCCCAGCUGCUGUCGUGAAUCCUACUUAUUAUAUGUCAACAUUAAGAGAAAUGUUUCAUCUAUUCAACAAGUGUUCACUUGAAAACAAUGGUCAAAUAUUGAGCAAGUUAUGACAAAAUGAAUUCCAAAAAGUGGGUAGAUUAGACUAAGUAGACAUUUGCUUGUUUGGUAGAAUAUGAACACUGUCUCUAAUGUGUAGCUAAUUGAUUAUCAAGAGCAAAUACGUGGAUUUCAUACUUGUGGUACUGUUGAUUUCACAAAACACAAAACAGAGUCCACCAGACCUACCUUACUGAGAUGUAUUAUUAUGUUGGUACGGAAAUCAGGUCGACAUCAAUGUAUAUUAAAAAUGAAAUAACUCGA